This 86-nucleotide transfer RNA is filed under the name Rosellinia necatrix. It matches the Rfam family "tRNA". Rfam says of the family: Transfer RNA (tRNA) molecules are approximately 80 nucleotides in length. Their secondary structure includes four short double-helical elements and three loops (D, anti-codon, and T loops). Further hydrogen bonds mediate the characteristic L-shaped molecular structure. tRNAs have two regions of fundamental functional importance: the anti-codon, which is responsible for specific mRNA codon recognition, and the 3' end, to which the tRNAs corresponding amino acid is attached (by aminoacyl-tRNA synthetases). tRNAs cope with the degeneracy of the genetic code in two manners: having more than one tRNA (with a specific anti-codon) for a particular amino acid; and 'wobble' base-pairing, i.e. permitting non-standard base-pairing at the 3rd anti-codon position. The record is from Rfam by way of RNAcentral. Lineage: Eukaryota; Fungi; Ascomycota; Sordariomycetes; Xylariales; Xylariaceae. RNAcentral also lists the same sequence under 1 other name.
AGAGAAUUGGCCGAGCGGUUUAAGGCGGCUAGCUUGAGUUUAGUUAUAAAUUUAAAUUAUCAUGGGUUCGAAUCCCAUAUUCUCUG